Non-coding RNA from Podarcis lilfordi (Lilford's wall lizard), 81 nucleotides. The record is from the annotation of a GenBank genome assembly. Lineage: Eukaryota; Metazoa; Chordata; Lepidosauria; Squamata; Lacertidae.
GCCUGAAUCCACCCUUGCUUUGUGGGUCAGUGCUUCUGGCUGCUAACCAGAAGGUUGGUGGUUUGAACCCACCCAGGGACG